AGAUGUAGGGGCCGUGUGUGGUGGUUAUGCGUGGGUGGGUGGCGUUGGUCGGAUGUAUUGGGCGUAAAGGGCUCGUAUGUGGUUCGGUAAGUCGGAUGUGAAAGCUCCAGGCUCAACCUGGAGGGGUCAGUCGAUACUGCCGUGACUAGAGUUCGGUAGGGGAGUGUGGAAUUCCUGGUGGAGCGGUGAAAUGCGCAGAUAUCAGGAGGAACACCCGUAGCGAAGGCGGCACUCUGGGCCGAUACUGACACUGAGGAGCGAAAGCGUGGGGAGCGAACAGGAUUAGAUACCCCAGUAGUC
This 300-nucleotide ribosomal RNA is filed under the name uncultured Croceibacter sp. Its description in RNAcentral is "bacterial SSU rRNA". The stretch from base 51 to 300 matches the Rfam family "Bacterial small subunit ribosomal RNA", at positions 547 to 795 of the family's 1533-position model. Lineage: Bacteria; Pseudomonadati; Bacteroidota; Flavobacteriia; Flavobacteriales; Flavobacteriaceae. The record is from RNAcentral.